GUCUUUGUAGUACAUUUAGUAUACUGGUCUUGKAAACCAGAGAARGAGAGCAAGCUACCUCCCUAKGACU
RNAcentral lists this transfer RNA (70 nucleotides) under Gazella gazella (mountain gazelle). RNAcentral's name for it is "tRNA-Thr". Lineage: Eukaryota; Metazoa; Chordata; Mammalia; Artiodactyla; Bovidae. The record is from RNAcentral.